AUUGAACGCUGGCGGCAUGCCUUACACAUGCAAGACGAACGGUAACGGGUCCUUCGGGAUGCCGACGAGUGGCGAACGGGUGAGUAAUAUAUCGGAACGUGCCCAGUAGUGGGGGAUAACUGCUCGAAAGAGCAGCUAAUACAGCAUACGACCUGAGGGUGAAAGGGGGGGAUCGCAAGACCUCCCGCUAUUGGAGCGGCCGAUAUCAGAUUAGCUAGUGGGUGGGGUAAAGGCCUACCAAGGCAACGAUCUGUAGUUGGUCUGAGAGGACGACCAGCCACACUGGGACUGAGACACGGCCCAGACUCCUACGGGAGGCAGCAGUGGGGAAUUUUGGACAAUGGGCGCAAGCCUGAUCCAGCAAUGCCGCGUGCAGGAAGAAGGCCUUCGGGUUGUAAACUGCUUUUGUCAGGGAAGAAAUCUUCUGGGCUAAUACCCCGGGAGGAUGACGGUACCUGAAGAAUAAGCACCGGCUAACUACGUGCCAGCCGCCGCCGUAA
This 500-nucleotide ribosomal RNA is filed under the name uncultured bacterium. RNAcentral describes it as "partial 16S ribosomal RNA". It matches the Rfam family "Bacterial small subunit ribosomal RNA", at positions 30 to 523 of the family's 1533-position model. The record is from RNAcentral.